UACGUAGGGUGCAAGCGUUGUCCGGAAUUAUUGGGCGUAAAGAGCUCGUAGGCGGUCUGUCGCGUCGGAUGUGAAAACCCGGGGCUUAACCCCGGGCCUGCAUUCGAUACGGGCAGACUCGAGUGUGGUAGGGGAGACUGGAACUCCUGGUGUAGCGGUGAAAUGCGUAGAUACUGGGAGGAACACCGGUGGCGAAGGCGGCUACCUGGACAGGUACUGACGCUGAGGCGCGACAGCGUGGGGAGCAAACAGG
RNAcentral lists this ribosomal RNA (253 nucleotides) under uncultured bacterium. RNAcentral describes it as "partial 16S ribosomal RNA". It matches the Rfam family "Bacterial small subunit ribosomal RNA", at positions 524 to 776 of the family's 1533-position model. The record is from RNAcentral.